This 467-nucleotide ribosomal RNA is filed under the name uncultured bacterium. Its description in RNAcentral is "bacterial SSU rRNA". It matches the Rfam family "Bacterial small subunit ribosomal RNA", at positions 335 to 799 of the family's 1533-position model. The record is from RNAcentral.
ACUCCUACGGGAGGCAGCAGUAGGGAAUAUUGGGCAAUGGUCGGAAGACUGACCCAGCCAUGCCGCGUGCAGGAAGACGGCCUAUUGGUUGUAAACUGCUUUUAUCUGGGAAGAAAAGGGCCAUGCGUGGCAAAUUGCCGGUACCAGAUGAAUAAGCACCGGCUAACUCCGUGCCAGCAGCCGCGGUAAUACGGAGGGGUGCAAGCGUUGUCCGGAUUUAUUGGGUUUAAAGGGUGCGUAGGCGGCUGAUUAAGUCAGCGGUGAAAGACUCCGGCUCAACCGGAGCAGUGCCGUUGAUACUGGUUAGCUUGAGUGCUGCAGGGGUACAUGGAAUUGAUGGUGUAGCGGUGAAAUGCAUAGAUACCAUCAGGAACACCGAUAGCGAAGGCAUUGUACUGGGCAGCAACUGACGCUGAGGCACGAAAGCGUGGGGAUCGAACAGGAUUAGAUACCCUGGUAGGAUAGCG